GACUUAGUGGUGCAGUGGUAGCACAUCCUAUCCGUUGAGGCUGGGAAGGUCGUGGGUUCGAAUCCCACCUAAGUCA
Molecule: non-coding RNA, 76 nt
Organism: Hypoxylon sp. FL1150
Lineage: Eukaryota; Fungi; Ascomycota; Sordariomycetes; Xylariales; Hypoxylaceae
Source: the annotation of a GenBank genome assembly